Molecule: ribosomal RNA, 490 nt
Filed under: uncultured bacterium
Lineage: Bacteria
Description: partial 16S ribosomal RNA
Rfam family: Bacterial small subunit ribosomal RNA
Source: RNAcentral
AGUGAACGCUGGCGGUAGGCCUAACACAUGCAAGUCGAACGGCAGCACAGUAAGAGCUUGCUCUUACGGGUGGCGAGUGGCGGACGGGUGAGGAAUACAUCGGAAUCUACUUUUUCGUGGGGGAUAACGUAGGGAAACUUACGCUAAUACCGCAUACGACCUACGGGUGAAAGCAGGGGAUCUUCGGACCUUGCGCGAUUGAAUGAGCCGAUGUCGGAUUAGCUAGUUGGCGGGGUAAAGGCCCACCAAGGCGACGAUCCGUAGCUGGUCUGAGAGGAUGAUCAGCCACACUGGAACUGAGACACGGUCCAGACUCCUACGAGGCAGCAGUGGGGAAUAUUGGACAAUGGGCGCAAGCCUGAUCCAGCCAUACCGCGUGGGUGAAGAAGGCCUUCGGGUUGUAAAGCCCUUUUGUUGGGAAAGAAAAGCAGCAGGUUAAUACCCCGCUGUUCUGACGGUACCCAAAGAAUAAGCACCGGCUAACUUCGUG